UAGCAGUUACUGGACCUCACGAGA
Molecule: non-coding RNA, 24 nt
Filed under: Cricetulus griseus (Chinese hamster)
Lineage: Eukaryota; Metazoa; Chordata; Mammalia; Rodentia; Cricetidae
Source: RNAcentral